UACAUACAUAUAUAGGCUACUAUACUCUUAUGAGUAUAAAUCUUUUUAGAUUCAUAAAUUUUGAACUGUUGGAUGAAGGAAUGUGCAGUUAGGAUAAUAGUGGUCUACUAAAGUUGAGUGAGCUGUUGAUUUAAUAAUAUGAUCUAACGGAUGAAAAUGAUCAAAAAGAUAGAUCUAACGGCUGAAAAUUUAUGAGUAUAAAAGAAUUUAUACCGAUAAAAGUAUAGUAACCAUCCGAACUCUAU
Molecule: long non-coding RNA, 245 nt
Filed under: Ananas comosus (pineapple)
Lineage: Eukaryota; Viridiplantae; Streptophyta; Magnoliopsida; Poales; Bromeliaceae
Description: long non-coding RNA (ACOM_LNC016123)
Source: RNAcentral